Molecule: ribosomal RNA, 253 nt
Filed under: uncultured bacterium
Lineage: Bacteria
Description: partial 16S ribosomal RNA
Rfam family: Bacterial small subunit ribosomal RNA
Source: RNAcentral
UACGAAGGGGGCUAGCGUUGCUCGGAAUCACUGGGCGUAAAGGGCGCGUAGGCGGCCAUUCAAGUCGGAGGUGAAAGCCCAGGGCUCAACCCUGGAAUUGCCUUCGAUACUGUUUGGCUGGAGACCGGAAGAGGUAAGUGGAACUGCGAGUGUAGAGGUGAAAUUCGUAGAUAUUCGCAAGAACACCAGUGGCGAAGGCGGCUUACUGGUCCGGUUCUGACGCUGAGGCGCGAAAGCGUGGGGAGCAAACAGG